AUGCAAUCUAGUUAACAUCUUAAAUAGACUGGUUUCCGUUUUUUAAAUACUCUGCUAUUGCUUUGCUAAUUUACAUGCUUGCAAUUGCUUUGACCCCAGAGCUCUCCAUCAGAUCUCCCAGGCUUCUGGAACCACUAAGAGCAUGGCAAUUUCUUCAUACAAAACUUAAGGCCAUGUUUCUGUUCUUGUCAAAGCAGAGAGAACAGCUUUGAAACUGAUUCUCAGCUUGAUUUUCUCACCAGAUCAACUUUUUCUAGAUAAGACAAAGAAAAUAUAUGUGAAUAAAGCAAAGUUUGGGUGGUUUUUUUUUUAGUUUAAUGUCCUCAGGAUUUUAAAUUUCCAAGAGAACAACUUCUGAAUGGAAAAUGAAAUUCAAAUUAUAAAGAUGAACAAUUUACAUUCUCUGGAGAGGACAGCACCUGUGAAUGUGAAGAAAGCCAAACAAGAGCCACAGGAGACAGUUCAUAAGCUGGAAUUGUCACUUCUGCAUCAAGGGAAGAGUGGAAGAGCAAACAGGUGGCCAAAAGUCAUCUUUAAUCGCUUUUCUUCCACAUUUUAGCCUGGGAAACACAGUUAUAGAAAAUGUCAGCACAUCCCAAGUAUAUGAUUUAUGCUCUUUAAUCUUUUGCUUUGGUGAUAAAUACUACUGUAGUCAUUCACUUUUAACUUGAAAUCAGUUUAACCUUUCCUUCCUAUUCUACAUAUAUUACCAUGCUUUGCUUACAAGGUUUGCAGGUUGCAAUAUUGUCUGAAGGUUAAAAUGCUAUUUUAAAUACAAUGCAGUGUUUAACACUGUGCAGUGUUUAAAAGUUUUUUAUCUUCUAGAUCUAACUGUCUAGUUCUAGAUUCUAAAUCCCAUCUUUUUUUCUCUGAUUUUACUCUUUUUUUAGAGUUAUACUUCUGCAAAAUUUUUACUAAAAACUGCAGUCUUCUGUGAUCUUACAGAUGCUUUAUGCUUCUUUAUGCUGCUUGUUGUUGUGUGUAGGAGACCUUGGUGUUCAUGCUGCAGUCAGUGGGAAGCUUUCUGCUUUUUUAUGGACAUCCAGCUGUACUCUUCCAAAAUGUGUUAUAUCUGAAAGAUUUAUCCACUGAAAAAAAGGAAAAGAAUAACAGCUGGUGCAAAUAUGUCUAUUGCUGGUAAAAGAAAGGCAGGCAAUCUUUAUGGAAUGAAGGGUCACUAUGUGGCAACAGUACCGUAGCUGAUUUUCAAGAAAAUCAUUUUAGAAGGACGAAACAGCAUUUUGGAGGGCUCCUAUGAUUUUCAGCUGAAAAAUAUGAUGUUGUCACUUUCAAACUUUAGCACAGUAAAUCUCUUGCUCUGUUUCCCAACUGGAAAAAAAUGAACAAGGAAGAUAUGUUUCAGGAUGUUCCCACCCUCCACAGAGUUCAAAAGUAUACAAAUAUUGUCAUACUUACUUUUCCUCCUACAUUUUCCAUCUAUUCUGCACAUAAGUCUCCAAGUGAUUCCUCCCCAGUGGAAGAAACUGAAGCAGUAAACCUCACCUCUCCUUAGAGAUUUAUCCUACAGAUGUGGAACAGCUGCUCUCUACCUGCGUAAAAUUCAAAUACAGCACUUAUGUGACUAGAAUUUGUCAAUUUAAGCAAUAAUCUACUCAAUAUAUUUUAAUGAGAAGAAGUUGAGUCAGGUAAAAGUGUUGAGGAAUUUGUUUUUGUAAAAAUCAAGUAGAUCCAGUAAAGCAACUGGAUUUAUUUCAAAUUUAAAGGAAGGUAAAAGAAAAAUAAUUGUUUUUAAAGGUCCUGUAUAUAUAAUUUGCAAGAUAAUUUUAACAGCAUUUCUCAUUCAAUAGCUAGAUCCUUCUACUGUUCAUCCAACAGUAUAACUAAUAGGCAUUGUCCAAAAUGUCCUUUUUUUCCUCUUAUCAAAUUAUAUUUUAGUUAUACUGAUUGUAAUAAAACCAUAGUAACUGUACAUAUAUCUGUAUGAAAUCAUGCCCAACAUGCUUUCUUUCAAGCCUAUUUUUGUUACUGUGGUUGCAAUAAGUUUAUUGUGGUUAUAAAUACCAAUAAACUAUGCUGUAGUUU
This is a long non-coding RNA of Gallus gallus (chicken), 2043 nucleotides long. NCBI's taxonomy places the organism in Eukaryota, Metazoa, Chordata, Aves, Galliformes, Phasianidae. The record is from Ensembl.